UCUCGACAUUGCCUUCCUGUUUGAUCUCUUAGCGUGGAUUUGAACCGAAGCAUGUUUGAUCUCUUAGUUUUUUGGCCCAGCUUCAUUUUCCUCUUUUCGUGUUAAAAGUGAUCCUAGGACAAAACAAGAAGAUUAAUUACUGCAUUAACAAGGAUAAAUGUUAUCGUUUUUUCUUUUUCUUUUAUCAUUUCAAAAUCGAAAUCGGUUUUAUGAGUUGUGUUAUUAAAAAAGGAACGCCUGUAUUUCAACUUUAACGGUACCAGGAUAAAUUUAUAUGACUCCACCCCGUUAUUUUCGGGUUUAGAUCACAAUAAAUACGAAAAAAAUAAAUAAAAAGCUUUUUCGGCAUGGAAUGGUGGAAAAGGACGAGUUUUACCAUGCCUCCUCAAUAUGCAUGCUAAUGUUUUGAAACUGCUUUUCAAGGUCUUCGUCAAGUACCGACCUUGCAACAUUGUGAACUCCAUACGUGAACCAAAAGUUCUUGUCAACAUGUGAGUUUUACCUAGAAUGAGUCCCUGUGGUCCUCGAAUUGUUUUGAUUUGAGUUCUUCUACUAGUCUUAUGCAAUCUUUAUGGAUAUCACAACCUAAAUUUGAGCACCUGACCAGCAUAAAUUAACAUUGCCCAGCAUAAGUAUUAUAACUUGUAUAACUCUACAAUUCAUUUCAGAUUAAUAUUCCAAAAUCACACAGUUCGAAUAAAAAAUAAAUAUGCAAACCAAUCAAUUUAAUUCAUAUCUAACAUUAUUCAUUUUCAUGAUUAUACAUAUAUUAGUAUUAAUCCCAUUGCCAUAUUUCAGUACAAUUUACUCAUAGUAUAUUACAACGAUAAAAAUCUAGGAUAAGCAUCAAUAUUCACCAAUCACAUAGGAGUAGUAUAUAUGGGGCUUCUGAAGUACCAAAACACAUUUUAUCACAAAGUAAAAUCAAUUCCCAAUUAAGAGGGAAACCAUAAAACUUGAUAAUAAAUCACCAAUAAAUACCAAUCAUUUAUUAAAACCUAUCUUAAAUUUUUUUAUUCAUGAACACGGACUAAACUGUAAUUUUCCAUAAUCCAGGGGAAAAAUCAUAAUUUCCAGAGUUGAAGGACUAAACUGAAAAUAUCAUGAAUCCAUGACCAAAGUGAAACUUGAAACUCAUCAUUAUUAACCUCACUGUCAGUCUAUCUAGGAUCUCAAAAUAUGUUCCAGGGCUCAAAUUACAAUUAAAGUUUUCACAAAUUGGGGACCAGACUGAAGUUCUGUCAUCUUCAACCUCAACACAGAUUUUUUUCCAGGUUUCAAGGCUGAUUUUUCAACUCAAUUCUCCCAUAUUUACCUAUUUUCUUUCUAAUAUUAAGUUACUUAAAGUCUUACUCAAAAUUCAUCAAUUAAACAAAGAUAUACAUCAAUUCAUUCCUGUUUUAUUUCAAUUCAUAUUCAUACACAUAUACCAUUCCAUACAUCAAACAAAAUCACUAACAUAUCAAUUAACAUUACACAAACCCUAACUUUUCCAACAAGUUUAUUGUAAAGAAAAGGACUCGUAAACAAUACUAUAAAUCAAUUAGAAAGAGAUUAAGAAAAACUUACUCAAAAAGUAACUUAUAUAUUCAAUCAUCACAAGUUAGAGCUUCGAAGAAAUUCUGCAGAAAGAAGAGAGGCAAAGUAUACUGGCGUUUAAAGAAAGAAAAG
RNAcentral lists this long non-coding RNA (1671 nucleotides) under Populus tremula. Its description in RNAcentral is "long non-coding RNA (PTRE_LNC002782)". The record is from RNAcentral. Lineage: Eukaryota; Viridiplantae; Streptophyta; Magnoliopsida; Malpighiales; Salicaceae.